RNAcentral lists this ribosomal RNA (465 nucleotides) under Vreelandella stevensii. RNAcentral describes it as "partial 16S ribosomal RNA". It matches the Rfam family "Bacterial small subunit ribosomal RNA", at positions 338 to 795 of the family's 1533-position model. The record is from RNAcentral. Lineage: Bacteria; Pseudomonadati; Pseudomonadota; Gammaproteobacteria; Oceanospirillales; Halomonadaceae.
CCUACGGGGGGCAGCAGUGGGGAAUAUUGGACAAUGGGGGGAACCCUGAUCCAGCCAUGCCGCGUGUGUGAAGAAGGCCCUCGGGUUGUAAAGCACUUUCAGUGAGGAAGAACGCCUUGUGGUUAAUACCCAUCAGGAAAGACAUCACUCACAGAAGAAGCACCGGCUAACUCCGUGCCAGCAGCCGCGGUAAUACGGAGGGUGCGAGCGUUAAUCGGAAUUACUGGGCGUAAAGCGCGCGUAGGUGGCUUGAUAAGCCGGUUGUGAAAGCCCCGGGCUCAACCUGGGAACGGCAUCCGGAACUGUCAAGCUAGAGUGCAGGAGAGGAAGGUAGAAUUCCCGGUGUAGCGGUGAAAUGCGUAGAGAUCGGGAGGAAUACCAGUGGCGAAGGCGGCCUUCUGGACUGACACUGACACUGAGGUGCGAAAGCGUGGGUAGCAAACAGGAUUAGAUACCCUUGUAGUC